Non-coding RNA from Otolemur garnettii (small-eared galago), 109 nucleotides. NCBI's taxonomy places the organism in Eukaryota, Metazoa, Chordata, Mammalia, Primates, Galagidae. The record is from Rfam.
AAGGAAGGAGAGGCAGUUUCUACAGGUGUCUUAGAAAAAUCAAUACUAAGCCACGGAUUAUUGGAUGCCACAGAACCAUGGAGACUUGGCAGUGAAAUUCUUCCAAAGG